This 1221-nucleotide long non-coding RNA is filed under the name Heterocephalus glaber (naked mole-rat). Its description in RNAcentral is "lncRNA (ENSHGLG00000027932.2)". Lineage: Eukaryota; Metazoa; Chordata; Mammalia; Rodentia; Bathyergidae. The record is from RNAcentral.
GUUGGCACAGAUUACCUUGGAAGAACAUUUCCUGUGUGUAGCUGUAGUCUCUGAAGUUGUUUUUGAGGACAAGGACAUUUAGACUUUUGCGAGAAGGAUGUGGAACUGUCCCUCUGACUCCAUGGACGUGUGUAAAGGAACGAAUGAAUGUGCGAAUGCCUCCAUCUUGUCUCCCUGUUCCCUCUCUCUGUGCGUGCUGGAGAAGGCACCUCUCACCCCAGCCCACUUCAGGUGUGCUGGUUGCCUCCGCUGACGCUGGGGCUGCCCCUUUGUGGGGCGAGCACAACGGUCCCAGCGCCACCUAGCGGCCAGGGAGCCUGGGAGUUGCGCGUCUCGUUUCCCAGUCCAUGGGAUCCGCGGACUACGCCACCUCGCAGAGUUCCGACGCUCUGGCCACUGCCUCCGUCUGUUUUGUUCUCUCCGGUCCAGAGAGUGCGGAGACUUCCGGGGAGCGAACGUGUACGGGUUUCCAGAGUAACCCCGACAACAGGCAGUGAGAUGGCAGCUCUGAGCAGCUUGCUCUAGAACCAACUGUGCGUCCUCCACUUGGACCAAUACCAAUGGGAGAAGCUGGCCAAGCUCUGAGAAGCCGUGCACACCCAAGGAGCAGAGAUGCCAUGGCUUUUUGGUGGUAUUGGCAGGAUGAUACCAGAGGCUAAAUGAUAAGAGCUGAAUGAAUUCUCCAGUGGGUUUAGGACAGUCUCUGUGGGAGAAAGUAGGACUUGUGAAACACAGCUGUGACCUUCAGGAUGGCCAAAUUGUGCAGGAGAUUUCUUAUGCAGAGGGCUUGCUCUUGGCUGGACAAUGUGAAGAAUCCUCGUUUUGCUUCUCAGACACCCUGGGACCCAGGAACAGGGAGGUGGCAGGUAGGUGAUGGGGUUGGUCCUGCCUGGGCUUCUCCACAUGCUGUGGUUAGAGCCAUGAAGGACACAGGCUGGGCUUUACUGGGGAACCAGGUGCCUGCCGAUGGUGACACCACACUGAGGAGGCCCGACACAGAGAGACAAGUAAGCUAUGGAUCACUCCCUAGAGAGUCUUCCCCUACUGCCAGUCUCAGCUGGGUCCCCUGUUAAAGGCCACUACAGCUCUCCAUUCUUUGUAUCCCCAGCUCGCAUCACAAUUUUCCAAAUGUGAAAGAGGGGCUGUGGGUGUAGCUCAGUGGUAGGGCACAUGCUUAGCACACACAGGGCCCUGGGUUCCAUGCUCCAUCCUCAGUAGGUG